AUCCUAGAAUGAGCAGGAUGAUCUCCAACUUCUUUUCCAUUCAAAUGAAUCUAUAGAAGAUGGAGGUAAAGAAGCUCUUCAAUAACAUCAAUGGCUCAGAGUUUAACGAAUCUGUGAAUGUCAAGCAACUUGAGAGCAUAUUGUGAUCCAUUUCAACUUCCACUAUCAGAUACCCUAUCCGCAGCAAAGUGCGGGCAUGCUUUCUAGUCACUAUUACACAAUGGAGAAUGUUGAUGUUGUCCGGGCAGAGUGGGCAAAGUAUGUUCUUAAGUUCAAAGAUAACUAGUGUGUAGGUUAACUAGUAGUUGGAGAUAUGUAGCAUCAACUUUUGGACAUGCAUAGUUGAUAUAUAUAUAGGCCAGAUUUUGAUUGCAGUACUGCUAGCUAUUUUGCUAUGUUGUUUAGUUUGUUGCCCAGAUUGUGUAGUGCUUGUGUAGUGCUUCUGGUUUAUUAGCAAGCAGUACUACAUGCAUAUAUUUUGUUGGCUGCCCAGAUUAGUAGAUAUGGGCCAUUUAGAACUGAUGCUGAUGAUUAGGUUUGUGUACAUGAGACAAUGGUGGAUUAAUGGAAAUUGC
This is a long non-coding RNA of Rosa rugosa (rugosa rose), 575 nucleotides long. RefSeq lists it as uncharacterized. The record is from RefSeq and is a predicted model, not a curated record. Lineage: Eukaryota; Viridiplantae; Streptophyta; Magnoliopsida; Rosales; Rosaceae. The transcript is spliced from 3 exons.